UUACUACUCCCUCCGUCGGGAAAUACUUGUCGAAGAAAUGCAUAAAAAUGAAUGUAUUUAGAACUAAAAUACAUUUAGAUACAUCCAUUCCUCCGACAAGUAUUUCUAAACGAAGGGAGUACUAU
Non-coding RNA from Triticum aestivum (bread wheat), 125 nucleotides. Lineage: Eukaryota; Viridiplantae; Streptophyta; Magnoliopsida; Poales; Poaceae. The record is from Rfam.